Molecule: ribosomal RNA, 846 nt
Filed under: uncultured bacterium
Lineage: Bacteria
Description: bacterial SSU rRNA
Rfam family: Bacterial small subunit ribosomal RNA
Source: RNAcentral
AGUCGAGCGAUGAACACCUUCGGGUGUGAAUUAGCGGCGAACGGGUGAGGAACACGUGAAGAAUCUGCCUUCAACUCUGGGAUAACUCCGGGAAACCGGGGCUAAUACCGGAUAUGAGCCUCGAUCGCAUGAUUGGGGCUGGAAAGUUUUUCGGUUGAAGAUGACUUCGCGGCCUAUCAGCUUGUUGGUGAGGUAAUGGCUCACCAAGGCGACGACGGGUAGCCGGCCUGAGAGGGCGACCGGCCACACUGGGACUGAGACACGGCCCAGACUCCUACGGGAGGCAGCAGUGGGGAAUAUUGGGCAAUGGAGGAAACUCUGACCCAGCGACGCCGCGUGAGGGAUGAAGGCCUUCGGGUUGUAAACCUCUUUCAGUAGGGAAGAAGCGAAAGUGACGGUACCUACAGAAGAAGCACCGGCUAACUAUGUGCCAGCAGCCGCGGUAAUACAUAGGGUGCAAGCGUUGUCCGGAAUUAUUGGGCGUAAAGAGCUCGUAGGUGGUUCGAUACGUCGGAUGUGAAAAUCAGGGGCUCAACCCCUGACCUGCAUCCGAUACGGUCGAGCUAGAGUUUGGUAGGGGAGACUGGAAUUCCUGGUGUAGCGGUGGAAUGCGCAGAUAUCAGGAGGAACACCGAUGGCGAAGGCAGGUCUCUGGGCCAAUACUGACACUGAGGAGCGAAAGCGUGUGGAGCGAACAGGAUUAGAUACCCUGGUAGUCCACGCCGUAAACGGUGGGCGCUAGUUGUGCGAACCUUCCACGGUUUGUGCGACGCAGCUAACGCAUUAAGCGCCCCGCCUGGGGAGUACGAUCGCAAGAUUAAAACUCAAAGGAAUUGACGGGGCCCC